ACCGGCACUGGUGGCGUGGUGCUGUAAUCCAGCUGCAUUGGAGGUCUGGGCUGUUGGACGGCACGUAGGUGUAGCGUUGUCCUCUACCCCUCCAUGUUGAAAUUCCUUCGUGUUGAGCGGGCGCAUCGCACUGAAUUGUUGCAGGUAUGGCCGUGAAUCCCGGGUCGGCCAGGCCCAACCAGUAGACAGGUAGCGCUUGUGAGUAGUUGGGCAGCUCAACCACGAAAGUCGAACGCAGUCCUUU
This 244-nucleotide non-coding RNA is filed under the name Stegodyphus mimosarum. The record is from RNAcentral. Lineage: Eukaryota; Metazoa; Arthropoda; Arachnida; Araneae; Eresidae.